RNAcentral lists this ribosomal RNA (720 nucleotides) under uncultured Staphylococcus sp. Its description in RNAcentral is "bacterial SSU rRNA". It matches the Rfam family "Bacterial small subunit ribosomal RNA", at positions 76 to 781 of the family's 1533-position model. Lineage: Bacteria; Bacillati; Bacillota; Bacilli; Caryophanales; Staphylococcaceae. The record is from RNAcentral.
AAGCUUGCUUCUCUGAUGUUAGCGGCGGACGGGUGAGUAACACGUGGAUAACCUACCUAUAAGACUGGGAUAACUUCGGGAAACCGGAGCUAAUACCGGAUAAUAUUUUGAACCGCAUGGUUCAAAAGUGAAAGACGGUCUUGCUGUCACUUAUAGAUGGAUCCGCGCUGCAUUAGCUAGUUGGUAAGGUAACGGCUUACCAAGGCAACGAUGCAUAGCCGACCUGAGAGGGUGAUCGGCCACACUGGAACUGAGACACGGUCCAGACUCCUACGGGAGGCAGCAGUAGGGAAUCUUCCGCAAUGGGCGAAAGCCUGACGGAGCAACGCCGCGUGAGUGAUGAAGGUCUUCGGAUCGUAAAACUCUGUUAUUAGGGAAGAACAUAUGUGUAAGUAACUGUGCACAUCUUGACGGUACCUAAUCAGAAAGCCACGGCUAACUACGUGCCAGCAGCCGCGGUAAUACGUAGGUGGCAAGCGUUAUCCGGAAUUAUUGGGCGUAAAGCGCGCGUAGGCGGUUUUUUAAGUCUGAUGUGAAAGCCCACGGCUCAACCGUGGAGGGUCAUUGGAAACUGGAAAACUUGAGUGCAGAAGAGGAAAGUGGAAUUCCAUGUGUAGCGGUGAAAUGCGCAGAGAUAUGGAGGAACACCAGUGGCGAAGGCGACUUUCUGGUCUGUAACUGACGCUGAUGUGCGAAAGCGUGGGGAUCAAACAGGAUUAG